AAAAAACACGAGCAGCUGUUGUACAGCGUGCGUGCAGCGUACAGACACAAAGGUUCGACGACCUCCGAUGAUCCGGAGCUGGGAAGGGCGUGCGGAGAAAUCCGUAUGUACGUGUUAUAUACAUAUAUAUUACGUGUGUGUGUGUGUGUGUACAGGCUAUUAAUAUUAACCGCUGGGACCGGAUUUCACUUGGCAAAAAUCUCGACGGUAUUUCGCGAGCACCCGAUGGACGUGGUGCGUGUGUGUGUGAAUUCAUAUUAAACGCUGUAUAAUAAGUACGUAUGUAUAGGAUGUACUGAAAUUUACGAUUUAUACAACUGUAAUAAUAUAGGCGUCCGUUUCGUACUUUUUUUCGGAUAUGUUUUGAGCGUAGGCACCCGUUAAGUAUACAAUAAAAUAUAAUAUGUAUUUAGGUUAAACCUAUCGGCGGCGGUUUCGAGGGGAUGACGGGCGCUAAUUCAAAAUCCGCUCCGGGGUCACGGGGUCCGACCCGUGCCGUAACGUUUGUCGGAAAUUAAUUGCUCGGCUAUAAUAAUAAUCAGCUGCAGGUAUACGGAAAAUAUUACGCAAAUUUUCGGCGGUUUUAAUCGGAACAGUUUUCCACGACUCCGGUCGUUAUAAACAAUCCCGUCCCCGCCUAUUUCAACAGCUUUCGCGUAUUUCGUAUGUUUAAGCCGUUUGUUUAGAUUCCGAUAAAUAUUUGCCAACGCGUAAUUGUAUAUAACGGCACGUUUCGAUCAACGGGAUAAGUACUGUUUACUAUUAUUAAGCGACGAAAACGCCGAGAGGUUUAUUUAUUGGAAGGGAGGGUAAUUCGUUAAAUCGCAUCACCUCCGGAUAUCGGCCGCGUUGUCGUAUAAUUUUUAAUCGCGCUCGCGGAUUUAAUAUCACAGCGAAUUGACUGACCGAUCAAAAUAUUCAACUCAAAGGGAUGACCGUGGUCACACGUUGGUUUUUUCCAGGGUUGGUAAUAUCCGCGUACCUAUAAAAUGUUUUAUACGUUAUACGUAUAAAACGACUAAGACAUUAUUAUUAUUUUUUGAAAUUUAUCAUAAUAGUGAUAACACUGUACGUUUUAAAUUUUAAUAAGUAUUUAAACUCAUAAAUUAAUAUAACAAAUUAACAAAUCGCUCGGAAUUUCCUUAAAUUUAGAAUAUAACAAAAGAAAUUGUUUUUCGGUAUUAUAUAAAUAUUAAUGCAGUUAGGUAUUAACAAAGAAUAAAGAUGAACUCGGUAAUAUAACAAAUUAUCACAUACAUCUCGGGUGAUUAAUAACAGGUAUAUAAAAAAUGAUUAUUAAAUUCUAUUGACAGUUAUUUUACCUGAUAAUUUCCGUUCGAUCGCGGCCAAAAACAAAUUGUAUACAAUAUGAAACAUGUAUACAAUUAAUAGUUUUAUACGUGCGUUUAAUACGCGUUUUAUACUUUACUACUGCACGUUAUACGUUCCAACCCUGGACUUUUUCCCCCCGGAUCUCGAUUGACGUGCAUGCGUUUGUAAACCGCGAUAUAUCGCGUACUCGUUAAUGUACUGUUUCGAUGAAAUACAAUUUAAUACGAACGAUAAACUGACGCGGGAACGCGGCCAAUGGCGUUCUCCCUUUCGUAGAGUGUGAUAACGGCCAGGUCGAUUCGCUGUGAUAUCGAAACCGACGGCCGAUCAUCGGUUCCGCCGCGUGCCGUUCGUAAGACGGAGACGGCGUUAUAAUAGCGCACGGUGUGUUUAAACGAAAAAAAAAAAAAAACUGCAGGAUUGCUCGGCCGAAACGCUCGUGUUAAUUGCGCGUACGAGACGCAAUGUCAAAACCAUUACUUAUAGAACGUACCAACAAUAAUUAUUAUUAUAUUUUAUAAACGAUAUGAUUAUUAUUAUUAUGUAAUGUAUUAGGAAUCGCCGUGUAUUUAGGUCACCGAUGAAACGAUCGACAAUAACGAUCGACGCGCAUCUCAAAUAUAUGAUAUACGUGCACAGCUAUUACACGAACGCCACCGCAAACAACACUAUCGGUUUUAACCGUCCGUUUUAGAAUAUACGUUUCAGACGGCGCUCGUUUCGGGCAGGGGAUAGGGGCAGGUUGGGUUCCGUUAAACGUCGCAGUGAGGCUGCGCGAUAAAAUGUUUUAAUUUUUUUUUUUAUAUUUUACCAGGGGCGCCGCAUAUGGGCUCACGAGCUUGAUAAAACGGAGUUCAGCCCCUCACGGUCGGUUCUUAUAUUAUUAUACAAAAAAAUUCAAUAUUUUUGUCACGUACGUCCUCAAAAUACUGAUUUUAUUUAUAACAAACAAACUGAAAGAGAUAAACGUUUUUUUUUUAUUUCGAUAUCGAUAGCAGAGAAAAAGCGUCGAUUGUCUUGUGUUUUUUCACUAUUAGGACACGGAUUUAUACGCACUUAAAAUUCACAAAAAAGCGUUUAAAAAACACUAAAAAAAUGUUUAUUUCAAAGUAAUAUUUUUCAAAUUAAUUCGUACGUGUUAUAAAAAGUAAAAUGCUUUGUGUUAAUCAUUUAUCAGUGUUCGAAAAAUGGGAUGAGAACCGUCAGAUUGAGGACUUUAAAACUCGUAUUCCACUUAUGUUUUUUUAAAUAUUUUCGUGUACUUUUUUGAUGAUUUAAGCGUUUUUUUUUUACGAAUUUUAAGUGCAUAUUCACGAUGCUGCAUAAUUUUAAAAUUUACAAAACAACAAAUAACUAUAUUUUAGUUUUUUUUUUAACGAACAAUUUAAGGAAAAUAUUAAUAUCAAAUAUACGGUAAGAUUUAGGUAAAACUGUACAUGCGUUUAUGAAAUAGUGAGCCCCCCCGUGAUAUUUUAAAAACCGGGCGCUUCUGUCCUUAAUACGACAGUACACUAUAGCUCUAGCUAUUAAAAUACCACUGCUUACAGAAAUAACAUAUUAUACACAGUGCACACAUUUCGGACAUCACGAACAAUUCUGAUAUUCAUCCCGUCCGUGAUGUUUUCAAGUUAAAUACGAUCGUUAUUUAAAAAUCGCAAUUAUUUACGCGGACCUUUACGUAUACUAUAAUAUUAUAGGUGUACAUCUUUUUUUCUAAUUGAUUUUUUUUGUUUUUUAAUUUUCGCACUCGCGUGAUUAGUAUAAAAUACGCGUUUAUACCGCGUGUUGAUCGCGUGUAUUAUAGGUGAUUUGAAAAUAAUUAUUAUAAUUUAUUUACCGUCAUCGUCGUCGGUAUACGUAUAUUAUAUAAUAACAGUACAGUCAGGUUAGGGUACAAGGUAGAUACCGUACGUUUCAACAGUGUCCAAAGUGUAAUAUGCAUAUUAUAUACUGUCAAAAAACUGUACACACAAUAUAUUUUAUAAGUAUACGGGUACUGUACGUGAAAACGUGCGAAGAGAAUUAUAUAUAAUAUAUGCGUUACUAUUUCUGCGUGACGUGUUUGAUUUUUGUUAUUCGCGUGUUAUAGUCGAAUACGUUAUGCAGGUAGUCGUAAUAUUUACUGCAAUAGUUCCCCGCGUAAGUAUAAUAUAUUAUUACUGUCGAAUAUUCGGCGGUUUACAUUACAAAGGAGGACAACUAAAAGGUCUUCAAUCUGGACGUAUAUGCGCGGCAAAGUAAGUCGCUGUACAGAUAGAAGAUGAAUUAUUACGGGUAGAUAUAUGAAGCCAGAUAUUGUGUAUUUUAGGAUUGAUAAGAAUUAAAGAGCAUUUUAAGCUAUGCACUUAUUGGUCACACUGGUUCACCGUUAUAAUAGAAAUCAAUGAAACGGCACAGAAGCGAAUAUCCAGGCGGAAAACAAACGUUUCGUUCGGACGACUGCUGUGAGAUCUCCGUUGUAGAUGACUUGGUCAUUAAUAAUAAAAACCCGACGAAUAUAAAUUGAUCGUGUUUGAAACGAAAAUCACGAGAAAUAUUUCUGAAGUUGUAAAAGGUAUUGAUAUCUAUAUGAUUGAAAAUAAGAAAGAACAAGUAACUUGAUUGAAAAACGAACAUCGUAUAGAAGUCACCGGGCCUAUACUACUGGACAAGAACCCGAUGGGGAAAAGACCUCUAGGAAGGCCGAGAAUCGGGUUGAAAGACGUAAUAAAAAAAAUAUGCGAAUGAAUUACGAGGAAGAUAAUAUUGGACAGCACGAGCACCACUGGAUAUAGAAGGCUGUAGGAUAUCGAAACGUAAGAAGGGAUUGUCUCAGCGAUCGUUUUUGUACCCCGAAGAAGAUUCCCGUGUGAUUGCUCACGCUAUUUUCGAAUGGACUCGGAUAGACGCGAGAUUUGAGCUGGUCAGUGUUGACUCUCGUUACUCACUCGACUAUAUUCUUACAUUUUAUAGACGAUAUGAAAAAGUGUAUAAAAAAAAAAAAGUACAUCCCAAAUUAUACACAGUAAUAAAACACGUCCUUCGAUAAAACGGCUGCGUAAAAACGAAAAUUCGAACGGACAUUUCACACGAAUUUAAACUCCGGCAAAACAGACGUCCGUGGUGAACGGGCGUUUUCUUCGGUCCCUUAUUGGAUUCCCGUUUUUACGCCGAUGUUGCAUGCUACCGCCGUGUCAUAUUUUCCAAACCAUCGGUUCUAAUCAAUAUCGCGUAUUCCGACGGUUUAUACAUACACAAAUGCUCGAAUCUCCGGAAGUAGGUAUACAAACAGCCAUUGGCGCACAUUCGGUCAAGAACUUGGGAGUGCUAAAAUCAUUAACGAUAGGGUGUAACGAGGGAGCUCUAUCUCUCUCCACUCCUACCAACUUAUUCGGUAUUUCAAAAUAAAAUUAUAUAUUAUAAUUACACAUUAAAUAAACUACAAAAUCGAAAUAAUGAUAUCCGAUUUUCAAUAACGAAUCUUUCAUUGCCUAUAGUAAAUAACCAACAAGGGAUAGGGGAUACACGAUAGCAUAAUAGUAUAAUUUCUUAUCUCAUAUCUGAGUACUGUUUGAGGCUUAUAUUUAUUUUAUUCGGCUGAAGAUCAGGGGGGAUGCUGAUUUUAGAUUUAGGGGUGCCGAGUACCUCCUGGUACCCCGGUGUGUGCGCCAAUGCUAUAUAACAGCCGGUAUUGUGAAAUGCAUCAUCGACGAUGAUGAAUUACGUGUAAAGUAGGAAACCCGUGCGCGUACAAAUAAAAAAAUUAUUGAGUUAAUGGGAGUUGAAAAAAAAAAAAA
RNAcentral lists this long non-coding RNA (5108 nucleotides) under Cinara cedri. Lineage: Eukaryota; Metazoa; Arthropoda; Insecta; Hemiptera; Aphididae. The record is from RNAcentral.